This 265-nucleotide ribosomal RNA is filed under the name uncultured bacterium. RNAcentral describes it as "partial 16S ribosomal RNA". It matches the Rfam family "Bacterial small subunit ribosomal RNA", at positions 88 to 354 of the family's 1533-position model. The record is from RNAcentral.
CCGGCGACCGGCGGACGGGUGCGUAACGCGUAUGUAACCUACCUUUGACAGGGGGAUAACAUCGAGAAAUUGGUACUAAUACCCCAUAACAUCACCGGAGGCAUCUUCGGUGGUUGAGAACUCAGGUGGUCAGAGAUGGACAUGCGUUGUAUUAGCUAGUUGGUGAGGUAACGGCUCACCAAGGCGACGAUACAUAGGGGGACUGAGAGGUCAACCCCCCACAUUGGUACUGAGACACGGACCAAACUCCUACGGAAGGCAGCAG